UUCCGUUGAUCCUGCGGAAGGUUGCUGCUAUUGGAGUUCGACUAAGCCAUGCAAGUUCUCUCUCUUAGGAGGGAUGCGAAAUGCUCAGUAACACGUCAAUAAUCUGCCCUUAGGUCAAGGAUACCCUCGGGAAACUGAAGUUAAGCCUUGAUAGGAGAGUGGUAGUGGAAAGAUUCUUUCUCUUAAAUUCGAGCCUAAGGAUGAGUUGGCGGUGGAUUAGGUUGUUGGUGAGGUAAAGGCUCACCAAGCCGAAGAUCCAUAGGGGCCCUGGGAGGGGUAUCCCCGAGAAGGACACUGAGAUACUGGUCCUAGCCCUACGGGGUGCAGCAGGCGCGAAACCUUUACAAUGCACGCAAGUGUGAUAAGGGAACUCCAAGUGCUUAUGCUUUGCAUAGGCUUUUGUUAAGAGUAAAUAUCUUGACGAAUAAGUGGUGGGUAAGACUGGUGCCAGCAGCCGCGGUAACACCAGCGCCACGAGUGGCAAUCACGAUUAUUGGGCCUAAAGCGUCCGUAGCCGGUUUAAUAAGUCUUUUGUGAAAUCGUUGGGCUUAACUUAACGCUGUGCAAGAGAGACUGUUAGACUUGGAACCGGGAAGGGUCAGAGGUAUUCUUGGGGGAGCGGUAAAAUGCUAUAAUCCCUAGAGGACCACCUGUGGCGAAGGCGUCUGACUAGAACGGCUUCGACGGUGAGGGACGAAAGCUGAGGGAGCAAUCCGGAUUAGAUACCCGAGUAGUCUCAGCUGUAAACGCUGUGAGCUAGGUGUCACACAUUCUUCGGGAAUGUGUGGUGUCGAAAUGAAGAUGCUAAGCUCACCGCCUGCGAAGUAUGGUCGCAAGGCUGAAACUUAAAGGAAUUGGCGGGGGAGCACCACCAGGGGUGCGGCGUGCGGUUUAAUCUAAUUCAACGCAGAGCAUCUCACCAGUAGCGACGGCAGGAUGAAGAUCAGUCUAAAGGGCUUAUCUGACGAGCCGAGAGGUAGUGCAUGGCCGUCGUCAGCUCGUGCCGUAAGGUGUCUUGUUAAGUCAAGCAACGAGCGAGACCUGUACCUACAAUUGCUAACAACUCCUUUAGGAGAUUUGAGCACAUUGUAGGGACUGCUCGGGAAACCGAGAGGAAGGUGCAGGCAACGAUAGGUCUGUAUGCUCCGAAUCUACUGGGCUACACGCGCGCAACAAUGACAAGGACAAUGUGAUGCGACUCUGAAAAGAGAAGCUAAUCCUAGAAACCUUGCCUUAGUUUAGAUUGAGGGCUGUAACUCGCCCUCAUGACACUGGAAUCCCUAGUAAUCAGACGUCAUCAUCGUCUGGUGAAUAUGUCCCUGCUCCUUGUACACACCGCCCGUCAAACCACUCGAGCAGGGUCUAGGUGAGACUUGGUUUUUAAUUAAGCCGAACCUAGGCUCAGUGAGAUGGGUUAAGUCGUCACAAGGUA
RNAcentral lists this ribosomal RNA (1432 nucleotides) under metagenome. RNAcentral describes it as "bacterial SSU rRNA". It matches the Rfam family "Archaeal small subunit ribosomal RNA". The record is from RNAcentral.